AAGCCUGGGGGAGCCACAAGCAGGGGCAUCUGGGAGGGGCUUCAGGGUGCGGGUGGCAGGGUCCAGGGCCUCAACGCCGUGUGCGGCUUUCAGAACCCAUCUGCGCCGUCGGCCACGGUGUCGCCGCCCUGUGCUGUGCCACCAACGAGGACAGAUCCUGGGUGUUCCAUGGCUACAGCCUGACAGGGCCCUCUGUGUGUGAGCUCGUCAGGGCCCCCGGCUUCGCCCGCCUGCCGCUCGUGGUGGAGGACUUCGUGAAGGAUUCGGGCGCCUGCUUCAGUGCAAGCGAGCCUGACGCUGUCCACGUCGUGCUGGACCGCCACCUGGUCACGGGCCAGAAUGCCAGCUCCACUGUCCCGGCCGUGCAGAACCUGCUCUUCCUCUGUGGCAGCCGGAAAUGAACCUGCUGGGUAGAUGCACCCCCUGAGACAGCCCAGGUGUCUCCAGAGACAGCCCCGUCUCAGGCUUCAGGGACCCCGCCUCUUCCCUCCUGACAAGGGCCCUGGAUGGCAGCCUGGUCUGGCCCUGAUGGGAUUGUUGGAGGCCUCCUGGAAUCAGCUCUGAGGGGGUGUCGGCUCUCCUGGAGGGUCCAAACCCCCA
This 600-nucleotide small RNA is filed under the name Pan troglodytes (chimpanzee). RNAcentral's name for it is "retained intron". Lineage: Eukaryota; Metazoa; Chordata; Mammalia; Primates; Hominidae. The record is from RNAcentral.